CCUACGGGAGGCAGCAGUGAGGAAUAUUGGUCAAUGGCCGAGAGGCUGAACCAGCCAAGUCGCGUGAGGGAAGACGGCCCUACGGGUUGUAAACCUCUUUUGUCGGGGAGCAAAGCGAGUCACGUGUGACUCAUUGAGAGUACCCGAAGAAAAAGCAUCGGCUAACUCCGUGCCAGCCGCCGCGGAAAUACGGAGGAUGCGAGCGUUAUCCGGAUUUAUUGGGUUAAAAGGGUGGUCAGACGGAGGUGCACGUCAGCGGGAAAAUUGCGGGGCUCAACCCCGGCCUGCCUUUGAAACUGCAUCCCUUGAGUGCGCGAGAAGUAUGCGGAAUGCGUGGUGUAGCGGUGAAAUGCAUAGAUAUCACGAAGAACUCCGAUUGCGAAGGCAGCAUACCGGCGCGCAACUGACGCUCAUGCACGAAAGCGUGGGUAUCGAACAGGAUUAGAUACCCCAGUAGUC
This 459-nucleotide ribosomal RNA is filed under the name uncultured bacterium. RNAcentral's name for it is "partial 16S ribosomal RNA". It matches the Rfam family "Bacterial small subunit ribosomal RNA", at positions 338 to 795 of the family's 1533-position model. The record is from RNAcentral.